GACGAACGCUGGCGGCGUGCUUAACACAUGCAAGUCGAACGGAAAGGCCCUGCUUUUGUGGGGUGCUCGAGUGGCGAACGGGUGAGUAACACGCGAGUAACCUGCCCUUGACUUUGGGAUAACUUCAGGAAACUGGGGCUAAUAUCGGAUAGGAGCUCCUGCUGCAUGGGGGGGGUUGGAAAGUUUCGGCGGUUGGGGAUGGACUCGCGGCUUAUCAGCUUGUUGGUGGGGUAGUGGAUUACCAAGGCUUUGACGGGUAGGCGGCCUGAGAGGGUGACCGGCCACAUGGGGACUGAGGUACGGCCCAGACUGCUACGGGAGGCAGCAGUGGGGAAUAUUGCACAAUGGGCGGAAGCCUGAUGCAGCAACGCCGGGUGCGGGAUGACGGCCUUCGGGUUGUAAACCGCUUUCGCCUGUGACGAAGCGUGAGUGACGGUAAUGGGUAAAGAAGCACCGGCUAACUACGUG
RNAcentral lists this ribosomal RNA (468 nucleotides) under uncultured bacterium. RNAcentral's name for it is "partial 16S ribosomal RNA". It matches the Rfam family "Bacterial small subunit ribosomal RNA", at positions 28 to 507 of the family's 1533-position model. The record is from RNAcentral.